GAUGAACUCUGGCGGCGUGCCUAAUACAUGCAAGUCGAGCGAACAGACAAGGAGCUUGCUCCUUUGACGUUAGCGGCGGACGGGUGAGUAACACGUGGGUAACCUACCUAUAAGACUGGGAUAACUUCGGGAAACCGGAGCUAAUACCGGAUAAUAUUUCGAACCGCAUGGUUCGAUAGUGAAAGAUGGUUUUGCUAUCACUUAUAGAUGGACCCGCGCCGUAUUAGCUAGUUGGUAAGGUAACGGCCUACCAAGGCGACGAUACGUAGCCGACCUGAGAGGGUGAUCGGCCACACUGGAACUGAGACACGGUCCAGACUCCUACGGGAGGCAGCAGUAGGGAAUCUUCCGCAAUGGGCGAAAGCCUGACGGAGCAACGCCGCGUGAGUGAUGAAGGUCUUCGGAUCGUAAAACUCUGUUAUUAGGGAAGAACAUACGUGUAAGUAACUAUGCACGUCUUGACGGUACCUAAUCAGAAAGCCACGGCUAACUACGUGCCAGCAGCCGCGGUAAUACGUAGGUGGCAAGCGUUAUCCGGAAUUAUUGGGCGUAAAGCGCGCGUAGGCGGUUUUUUAAGUCUGAUGUGAAAGCCCACGGCUCAACCGUGGAGGGUCAUUGGAAACUGGAAAACUUGAGUGCAGAAGAGGAAAGUGGAAUUCCAUGUGUAGCGGUGAAAUGCGCAGAGAUAUGGAGGAACACCAGUGGCGAAGGCGACUUUCUGGUCUGUAACUGACGCUGAUGUGCGAAAGCGUGGGGAUCAAACAGGAUUAGAUACCCUGGUAGUCCACGCCGUAAACGAUGAGUGCUAAGUGUUAGGGGGUUUCCGCCCCUUAGUGCUGCAGCUAACGCAUUAAGCACUCCGCCUGGGGAGUACGACCGCAAGGUUGAAACUCAAAGGAAUUGACGGGGACCCGCACAAGCGGUGGAGCAUGUGGUUUAAUUCGAAGCAACGCGAAGAACCUUACCAAAUCUUGACAUCCUUUGACAACUCUAGAGAUAGAGCUUUCCCCUUCGGGGGACAAAGUGACAGGUGGUGCAUGGUUGUUGUCAGCUCGUGUCGUGAGAUGUUGGGUUAAGUCCCGCAACGAGCGCAACCCUUAAGCUUAGUUGCCAUCAUUAAGUUGGGCACUCUAAGUUGACUGCCGGUGACAAACCGGAGGAAGGUGGGGAUGACGUCAAAUCAUCAUGCCCCUUAUGAUUUGGGCUACACACGUGCUACAAUGGACAAUACAAAGGGCAGCGAAACCGCGAGGUCAAGCAAAUCCCAUAAAGUUGUUCUCAGUUCGGAUUGUAGUCUGCAACUCGACUACAUGAAGCUGGAAUCGCUAGUAAUCGUAGAUCAGCAUGCUACGGUGAAUACGUUCCCGGGUCU
Molecule: ribosomal RNA, 1372 nt
Filed under: uncultured bacterium
Lineage: Bacteria
Description: bacterial SSU rRNA
Rfam family: Bacterial small subunit ribosomal RNA
Source: RNAcentral